UUUUAUAUCUAGCCUUAAUGAGCCUUAAUACAAUCGCGUCAAAGCAACGACAGCAAACGGGCCUAUUAGCUAAUGGAAUUUUUAGUUAGUCUUGCAAAUCGCCUUCAAAUUGCAAAAGACUACCUGUUGCAAUCACCAUAUGCAAGUGGUUAAAUUAAUUGCAGUGGUCAGUUAAUUGGUUGAAGCAAAAAAUUAAGCAAAGCUACUGGUCAUCCCACGCUGAUCUAAGCAAUGAGAUUCCAACACACGAAUAUUUCAACGAACAUCUGCUCAGGUUACAUUGGAAGAGGCUACAGCACUUCUGACCGAGUUUGAGUCGUCGGACAUGGAAGCCGAAACGGAUCUUGAUUUUGGGUUAGCGCAGUCUAUUGAAACUGAUGAGACAUCUACUACCCAAGAAUCUACUUCUAAAUCAAAGUGUCGUUUUAGCUUAAGUGCCUCUUGAACUGGCCACGAAACUCACUUCAAGUUGGGUAUAAAAUUAUGCUAGCAAUUGUCGAUGUUGUGAAUUUCAUAAUUCUUAUUGACAAAGCGCAUUUGCCUUUUGUUAAACAGUCCAAAUCCUCCCCCAAAAACUGUCUGAACAUGUGCCAAUUAUAUGUCCGCCUCGGUUAAGACACACGGAUGUGAAACCCUUUCUUUGAAGCUACGAAAUACCUUCUAAGUAAUGAAAAAAAAACAGUUUUAGCAACUAAUGACGAAGCUCGUUUUUCUACAUAGAAUUUCAUUUUAUCCAGAAUUUGAAUAAUUACGUAAUAAGUGAUGGCGAUUGUAAAAAAACAAACAA
Long non-coding RNA from Daphnia pulex (common water flea), 787 nucleotides. RefSeq lists it as uncharacterized. NCBI's taxonomy places the organism in Eukaryota, Metazoa, Arthropoda, Branchiopoda, Diplostraca, Daphniidae. The transcript has 2 exons. The record is from RefSeq and is a predicted model, not a curated record.